GGUAGGUUGCUUCCCGCGCGCUUGUGAGAGGGGAAGAGGAUUCGCUUCACUUCCCCACCGCCCUCUCCGCGACUCCACGGCGUCUCAUACCGAUUCACAAGGAGUCUCGUUGCUCUUCCGCGCCGUUACAGUGAGCGGGGCCUCUGCGGCUGCUACCGUUUCACUGAAGCCAGGAUGCCUUGCACAGGGCUUGGGCCCUGGGUCUGAGGGGAGCCGCAGGGUCCAGGGGCGGGGAAUGGUGAGGUGGCGUGGGUCCGCCCUCCCCCCGACGCGGAGCGUGUUUGUGUUUGUGUCGGACACUCCGCCCCCGCUAGUGCGCCUCCUCACUUCUUCCUUACUCAGCCCUGCACCUGGAGACAUCUGACCGCUGCCGCGUUUUCUUCCCUCAGUCCCCGCAACCUCCGGUGCUUGUGCACGGACUUCCAGGGACCGGCCUCAGGUCACCGUCACCUCCUGAGAAUUCCUUCCUGCCUCUUCUGUGUUCUCUUCCUCACGUUAACAUCCUACUGCCAUAAGAUGGUGUGUUAAAGGACGGGACAUAAGAUGGUGUGUUAAAGGACGGGAUAUGCCUUAACGUGCUCCUGUGGGCACAGUGGGGCCGAGGGCAUCGGACAUGCCCCUUGACACCGCGACCAGCCAAGCAACGAAUGCCAAGCUGCUACAGAAAGUGCCCCGGGCUCCCCAGCUGGGGCAGUGGGGACCUGGGGCCUCAGCCAUGACCCCACCCCAAUACCUGCAACCGUCCCAGCGGUGACCACUGAGCCACCACAGGAAGCGCCCUGGGCUCCUGAGCUGGGUUGGUGGGGGGCCAAGGGCUUCAGCUGCACCCUCUGUCAUCUGUAUCCAGCCCAGCAAUGACCAAGCCACCACUGGAAGCCCCCUUGUCUCCCCUGCAGGAAUGAGGGUGGUGCCACGGACCUCAACCAUGCUCUCCUCCCUCCUCCUCCCAACCUAUUUCCUUUCCCCUUCUCCUCUCCCCUCCUCCCAACUGCUCUGUAACAACAUCUUAGAAUGUAAAAAAAUAAUAUUAAUAAAUAACCUUAAAUGAAAAAAAGAAUUCUUCUGAGAAAUCACAAAUAUUAAAGAAUGUGUUAGUGGAUCACCAGGCAUUUGAGAAGCAAAGGUUUAAGAGUUUGAGGUUUUGAAUAGCUAAGACCUAGAAUUUUAUCCAACUAAAAUACAUGCAAGCUGAGUGCCCUAGGGAAAGAUGUUUACCUCUCUCAGCCUUGCUUUUGCUUCCUGAACAUUGUGUAUAGAAAUAUUUUUAUGCCUUCUAGGGUUGUAAAAAUCUGUAAAGAUGACUUAU
Cynocephalus volans (Philippine flying lemur) is the source of this 1306-nucleotide long non-coding RNA. RefSeq lists it as uncharacterized. The record is from RefSeq and is a predicted model, not a curated record. NCBI's taxonomy places the organism in Eukaryota, Metazoa, Chordata, Mammalia, Dermoptera, Cynocephalidae. The transcript has 3 exons.